Molecule: non-coding RNA, 113 nt
Organism: Acanthosepion pharaonis
Lineage: Eukaryota; Metazoa; Mollusca; Cephalopoda; Sepiida; Sepiidae
Source: the annotation of a GenBank genome assembly
UUACGGCUAUUUCAGGUUGAAACACCUCUUCUCUUAUGAUCACCGAAGUUAAGCAACAGCGUUCCUCGUCAGUACCUAGAUUGGUGAUCGCUUGAGAAUACCAGAUGCUGUAA